Molecule: long non-coding RNA, 491 nt
Filed under: Ananas comosus (pineapple)
Lineage: Eukaryota; Viridiplantae; Streptophyta; Magnoliopsida; Poales; Bromeliaceae
Description: long non-coding RNA (ACOM_LNC013559)
Source: RNAcentral
AUAUACCCCUGAAAAGUAUCUGACUUUCCGAUUUACCCCUCUUAGAAGACUAAUAUUGAAAAUACCUAUUCUACGUUCCAAUCUAUUUCGAAUUUAUCCCUAGAGUUAAAAUCUGUUAAUUAACUCUGUUAUCUUUGUAAAAUUACUAUUUUACCCUUUUAAAUAUACCCUUCCACCAUCACUGACUUUCUUAUUUGCCCUUAAAGUCAGGACACAAAAAGUAUUUUGACUUUUGGUCUUUUCCAAUAUACCCCUCUACCAUCACCAACAUUUCUUAUUUGCCCUUAAGUUAAGGGCAAAAUUGGCAUUUUAAUUUUUUUUAACUAUGGAAGAUAUUUAACUCACGUUUAACCCAAGUUACCUUAACAGGAGAUAACUGCGGGGGUAUUUUGCAAUAACGAUGGAACAUAUGAUGGGUAUUUUAGAAAGGAAAAAAAAAUAGGGAUAAAUCGGAUUUUUUCAAAUGUAUGAGGGGUAUAUAGGCAAUUAUC